RNAcentral lists this ribosomal RNA (497 nucleotides) under uncultured bacterium. RNAcentral describes it as "partial 16S ribosomal RNA". It matches the Rfam family "Bacterial small subunit ribosomal RNA", at positions 28 to 507 of the family's 1533-position model. The record is from RNAcentral.
GAUGAACGCUGGCGGCGUGCCUAAUACAUGCAAGUCGAGCGAACAGACGAGGAGCUUGCUCCUCUGACGUUAGCGGCGGACGGGUGAGUAACACGUGGAUAACCUACCUAUAAGACUGGGAUAACUUCGGGAAACCGGAGCUAAUACCGGAUAAUAUAUUGAACCGCAUGGUUCAAUAGUGAAAGACGGUUUUGCUGUCACUUAUAGAUGGUUCCGCGCCGCAUUAGCUAGUUGGUAAGGUAACGGCUUACCAAGGCAACGAUGCGUAGCCGACCCGAGAGGGUGAUCGGCCACACUGGAACUGAGACACGGUCCAGACUCCUACGGGAGGCGGCAGUAGGGAAUCUUCCGGAAUGGGCUAAAGCCUAACGGAGCAACGCGGCGUGAGUGAUGAAGGUCUUCGGAGCGUAAAAAGCUGUUAUUAGGGAAGAACAAAUGUGUAAGUAACUAUGCACGACUUGACGGUACCUAAUCAGAAAGCCACGGCUAACUACGUG